AGAAGGUGUGUCCACUAUUUUCCCAGUGGUGUAUGAAAGGCAGGCCAGCUCCUGAACCCCAACGUUGUUCCUCAAGUUUUUUUUGCCUGGUCUGUAUCAAAAGACAGAAUCUUGAUGACUAAGACAUUUUCUUUGGUACCUACAAGAAGGAUCCAGCUCUCUACUUCUAUCAGCUCCUGGAUGACUACAAGAAAGGGAACCUCCACAUCAUUCCAGACACUCCUCUGGCUGAGGAGAGAUCAGGAGAUGACAGUGAUGUGUUGAUAGACAGAGACAUCAUGGCCUCCAUGCAGAGGAAUGUGUGGAUGGACAUAUAUUUAAGGAAGACACUAAACCAGAAAAUACCACAUUACACCCUCUUAAAAGACUUCUAAGAUUGUUGUCAUGCCUACCACAGACAUUCAGAUGAUGUGUAUUCUUGAUUGUGAUUUCAUGUUUGGAGCUGAUGAAGGAGAAAGUACCUGGAAUGUCCUAGAAUUCUCAAGACCCAGGAGAUGAACAUAUGCCUGAGAAGAAGAACUAGUGUGGAACUGUCAGCCAGGUUUUUGAUGAGUGCUCAGACUGCUUCCUGAUCCGGCACCACAUUUACUAUAGUGGACAGAUGCUCUAGUCUCUGAUGAGGAGUUGCUAGCUGUUAGGAAAAACCUGGAAUGGGCUCCACUGCAUGAGGCUUGGUCGAAGCCUUCCCCACUAAUAACAAGAACACCCAUGCCAUGGGAAAGAAGAUAUUAGAGGAAAAUUUCCCAAGAUUUGGCAUCUCUAAGGUACUUUCAUCAGACAAUGGCCCCUCCUUCAUUGUCCAGAACCCCCUCUAGCUCACUUGAAGGCCCUACAAUUGGUCAGAAAAGAUGCCUUGGAAAUGCUGAAACACAAUAAAAAACAAAAACAAAAACAAAAAAACAAAAAAACAUACUAACCAGGAACCAUCUUCGUGCCACAUAAAUUUCAAACAGAAGAUCCUGUCCGGGUCUGGUGCCACCAUUCUGGCAAACUUGAACUCAGAUCAAAAGGAUGCUCCCUGGUGCUUCUGACAAGCCCUGCUGCCGCACCUCCAGCAUGUAACCGCUUCUGGCCUGCCAUGGCCCACUGGCCUGGCACUGCACAGGAUCCCCCCUUCUUCCCUCCUCCCACUGGCAAGAGUCUCUUUCGUCUCAUUCAAGGGGCUUCUGAGGUUCUCAAUCUUACAAAUCCUAAAGCUGUGACCUCAGGUUGGCUUUAUUUGGCAGCUGGGCCAGAGGUUUAAUUUUCUAACUUAUAAAAUUAGAACUAUGUACUAGAAGGAGUGGGAAAUGUGAGAACCCAACUUAGAGCAUUUCUCCCUGGAAGGUGAAGCCCCUGGACAUUCUCCAAGCUUGUAUUCCCUGAGCUCUAAAAAUACAGCCAGAAAGAAGCUCUAUGUUCUCUACAGCCACCAAAAAGCAUUUUGGUUUCUGAGCCUUACAGCUAGAGAUUCAAAAAUUGGAGUUUUGCCAAGGACAUCUGGGCAGAGAAGAACACUCCUCCGGACUCUUCCCAACUCUCCAAACUCUCCUCCCAACUCAUCUCAAUUCCUCAGGUAGCUAAUAAAAACCCUCUUCUGUC
This 1581-nucleotide long non-coding RNA is filed under the name Mus musculus (house mouse). Its description in RNAcentral is "predicted gene, 57863". The record is from RNAcentral. Lineage: Eukaryota; Metazoa; Chordata; Mammalia; Rodentia; Muridae.